RNAcentral lists this long non-coding RNA (316 nucleotides) under Capsella rubella. RNAcentral describes it as "long non-coding RNA (CRUB_LNC002499)". Lineage: Eukaryota; Viridiplantae; Streptophyta; Magnoliopsida; Brassicales; Brassicaceae. The record is from RNAcentral.
CUCUGUGGUAUCCUCCUCCGUAUACACCACCACGACGUACUCCUCCACUGUCACAUCCUUUACUUCAUCUUCAUCUCCUGCGAGAAAAGAGAGAAUUUGUUACAAACAAAUGCACGAGGUUUGACGAAAAUAAUACUUACCAAGUUCCAAAUCUUCUUUGCUGAUAUCAACCAACUUCUUUUCUUUGUAGAUUUGUAAAUUCUGAAUUGCAACCUCAUCAACCAAGUAUGGAACCUACCAUUCGAAAAGCCAGCAGUAAGAAAACAAAUCAAACCAGAAUCAUGUGCCAAGACAAUAUCUUUUCAAGAUGAAAACC